This 464-nucleotide ribosomal RNA is filed under the name uncultured Comamonadaceae bacterium. RNAcentral's name for it is "partial 16S ribosomal RNA". It matches the Rfam family "Bacterial small subunit ribosomal RNA", at positions 338 to 794 of the family's 1533-position model. Lineage: Bacteria; Pseudomonadati; Pseudomonadota; Betaproteobacteria; Burkholderiales; Comamonadaceae. The record is from RNAcentral.
CCUACGGGAGGCAGCAGUGGGGAAUUUUGGACAAUGGGCGCAAGCCUGAUCCAGCAAUGCCGCGUGCAGGAUGAAGGCCUUCGGGUUGUAAAGUGCUUUUGUACGGAACGAAAAGGCUCUGGCUAAUACCUGGGGCUGAUGACGGUACCGUAAGAAUAAGCACCGGCUAACUACGUGCCAGCAGCCGCGGUAAUACGUAGGGUGCGAGCGUUAAUCGGAAUUACUGGGCGUAAAGCGUGCGCAGGCGGUUUGGUAAGACAGGUGUAAAAUCCCCGGGCUUAACCUGGGAACUGCACUUGUGACUGCAAGGCUGGAGUACGGCAGAGGGGGAGGGAAUUCCGCGUGUAGGAGUAAAAUGCGUAGAUAUGGGGAGGAACACCGAGGGCGAGGGCGGCCCCCGGGGCCUGUACUGACGCUCAGGCACGAAAGCGGGGGGAGCAAACAGGAUUAGAUCCCCGGGUAGU